UCUGAUUGCUAAAGGUAACAAGUUUUUCCCUUCUUUUUUUAUCACUUAUUUUCAGAUUUUCUUUGAUACUGUUUCUUUCAGAUUGGUUUUUAUUUAUUUAGGCUCGAAUCAAUCAUCAAUAGAGAGUAUCAAGGAUAAUAAUCAACGGGCAACUUCCUUCAUUUUUCUAGAAAGUGGGCUCUAUACAAAUAUUGGGCAGAUAGCCGGUUGUGAUUCUGAAGGUAUAUCAUCGUCUUUGAUAAUGUCAACUACUUUGAAAGAAAUCUCAAAUGCAUACUCGAUUCUAGAGCUGAGAAUCACUUGAAAUAUUUUCUUUGUGUAUAUAUUCUCGUCAAGAUUGUUGGAACCCAA
Molecule: long non-coding RNA, 351 nt
Organism: Hevea brasiliensis (rubber tree)
Lineage: Eukaryota; Viridiplantae; Streptophyta; Magnoliopsida; Malpighiales; Euphorbiaceae
Exons: 2
Source: RefSeq, a predicted model, not a curated record